RNAcentral lists this long non-coding RNA (558 nucleotides) under Panax ginseng (ginseng). RNAcentral's name for it is "long non-coding RNA (PGIN_LNC004556)". The record is from RNAcentral. Lineage: Eukaryota; Viridiplantae; Streptophyta; Magnoliopsida; Apiales; Araliaceae.
UACAACAAAGAAGGAAAAAAAGAAAAAGAAAAAGAAAAAGAGAUAAUUAGAUGAGGAGCUACACGAGUACCAAGACGGAAGGAGAGGCAGGAGAUCAGAAAAUUAGGAAGGCAAAUCCUUCAUAUUUGUUUUCCUUUGGAUGAUUUCGAAUGUGAAGUUCAUAGGAGGGGGAAUCUUGUUGCUAACCUGAAGGGGGGUUCCACCUCUAUAAACAGAGUACUGGCAUUACAUUUAAGGGGAUAUAUCACCAACAUUAAGGGGAUUCUUGAUUUUUGUUUUGGCAAUUGAUUUUUCAAGCAUUAAGAUUUCGUUCAUGGGAUUAUGUUCGGGAGGAAAGCAGCUUUUACGUGCUUAUUGGUAUGCUAUUUUAUUUUUUUAUUUUAGUUUAUUUUGUUUAGCAUUUGUUGAAUUUAUUUAUUAUUUUUUAUUUUUGAAUGUUAAGGAGAUCAUUGUUUUUAAUUUAGAGCAGAGUAUUUUUGAAGAUUGAAAUUCAAAAUUUAUUUUAUUGUCUUCUUUAACUAAUUGUUACAUUGAAAUAAGUUUUCUGUUUAUUUAAAC